UGGGGAAUAUUGCACAAUGGGCGAAAGCCUGAUGCAGCGACGCCGCGUGAGGGAUGACGGCCUUCGGGUUGUAAACCUCUUUCAGCAGGGACGAAGCGCAAGUGACGGUACCUGCAGAAGAAGCACCGGCUAACUACGUGCCAGCAGCCGCGGUAAUACGUAGGGUGCAAGCGUUGUCCGGAAUUACUGGGCGUAAAGAGGUCGUAGGCGGUUUGUCGCGUCGUUUGUGAAAACCAGCAGCUCAACUGCUGGCUUGCAGGCGAUACGGGCAGACUUGAGUACUGCAGGGGAGACUGGAAUUCCUGGUGUAGCGGUGAAAUGCGCAGAUAUCAGGAGGAACACCGGUGGCGAAGGCGGGUCUCUGGGCAGUAACUGACGCUGAGGAACGAAAGCGUGGGUAGCGAACAGG
RNAcentral lists this ribosomal RNA (409 nucleotides) under bacterium. RNAcentral's name for it is "partial 16S ribosomal RNA". It matches the Rfam family "Bacterial small subunit ribosomal RNA", at positions 355 to 776 of the family's 1533-position model. The record is from RNAcentral.